AGGCAGUAAAUUGUGAGGCGGGGUCUGGAUGGAAAGGCGGGGCCCGCUGAAAGAAGGCGACCCGAGUUCUACUUCCUAGUAAGGGACGUCUCUGGAGAGAUCCUGAGGUUUUUGAGGUCAGUGGUUUUCAAUCUUGGUUGGCUGUACAUAGGAGUCACUUGGGGAGCUUGAGAAAAAUACCGAUACCUGAGUCCCACCCCCGAGAAAUUCUGAUGAAAUGGGUCCAGGGUCAGCCUGAGUGGUGGAACUGGGACUGGGGCCGAGGAGUGGACAAGUAUAGGGGUAUUUCUGACCCUUCCCCUCAUUUCACCUCUUCUUUCUCCCACGGGUUCCUUUCUGGAAGCCUCUUUUGCCUACACACCGGCAGUGUCCUUCCCGCACUCAGAGGGCCUCUCUGGAGCCAGUUCCAGGCCACCCAUGGGCCUUGGCCCCGCCCCCUACCCAUGGCUGGCAGAUUCGUGGCCCCACCCAUCUCGAAGCCCCUCGGCCCAGGAACCCAGGGGAAGCUGCUGCCCUAGCAAUCCUGACCCGGACGACAGAUAUUACAAUGGUGAGGAGUUCUCAUUCC
Molecule: small RNA, 568 nt
Filed under: Pongo abelii (Sumatran orangutan)
Lineage: Eukaryota; Metazoa; Chordata; Mammalia; Primates; Hominidae
Description: retained intron
Source: RNAcentral